Molecule: long non-coding RNA, 604 nt
Organism: Monomorium pharaonis (pharaoh ant)
Lineage: Eukaryota; Metazoa; Arthropoda; Insecta; Hymenoptera; Formicidae
Exons: 2
Source: RefSeq, a predicted model, not a curated record
ACACGUUAUAUUGAACACUUUUUUCGUUGUUUAAACAUGAGUCACUCUCGACGGGAUCAUCACGGAUUCAAAAAAAUCGCAGGGAACAACAGACGCUAGCGAUCGACACCGUUCCCGUAAGGGUGGAUUUAGUGAUUAGCAAUUAACUUUGACCCUCCUGCUGGCCGCUGAUGUCCGAGCGAGUGCCUCUUCUUUUCGACCAUUUUUCUACCCUCGGCUCACCGGCCGCCGAUUUCCGUUCGUCGGAAACGUCAUGUGGCACAUUAAUUGGAUCCGUGUAGAAUAAAAGGAGGCUCCUACAUAGCAAACUUAGAAACGAACCGUUCUCCAUUGACAUAUAAAUAAUGGCAACAUGACAGUGAUUGACGUCGAUAAAAGAACAUUUUUAUGUAAGAAUGAUACAAUAAUUACUAUAAAAUUAUACAAUAUAAAUCAUUCACUUCGAUAAUAUUAUCAACUCCAUCGAAUCUACUUUCUCUCAAUGAAUAAUCAUCAAAACGUUCGUCAGCAGAUGCAAUAAAAUUAUACGCUACCGUUUUGAUACUAUCUCCAACUGUGUAAACCUAGGUAUUAAAUAAUGUAUUUUACAAAUAUUUCAGAAAAA